This 688-nucleotide long non-coding RNA is filed under the name Marmota monax (woodchuck). The record is from RNAcentral. Lineage: Eukaryota; Metazoa; Chordata; Mammalia; Rodentia; Sciuridae.
UGCAUAUGUAGAAAUAUGUUGAUGGCUGAAUUAUAACACUAACUUCUUUUUGGCCUUCCAUAACUUUGUGUUUUUUUUAUAAUGCAUACAAAACUUUCUCCACAGGAAUCUGGAGAUAAGGAAAGAAGCUAUAUUUUAGCAUUUUAUGAUAUGAAUUUAUUUGCUUCACUGUCAUUUCAGUUCUGUUAGGUUCUUUCUUGCUAUUAGUACUCAUUAAAAUUUUAAAUAAGGGGUAAGAGAGAGGUUUUUUCCCAAAAGAAACACUACUCUCAGGCAAAGAAAUUUUGUUAUCAGCAUUAUCAGCCAUUAACUUAUUAAUACAUUGCUUCAAAUUUUUAUUUAGAAGAUAAAAUUUUUCACCAUAGAAACAAGUGUUACAGUGGUUAAGUUUCCUGGGCAACCUACCAAAGCCAACAGAUAUACUUUGAGUAGCUUCAAGUCCUUCAGUCUUUUAAGAGAAACAGGAACUGACCUAUAUAGAGGUUCCUAUGCUUAUGUCCUGUCAGAAUCUUAUUAAGAUGAUAAGGGGGUUGAAAACUGCUGGAGCAUUGGUGAAAAGUUGGCUAUGGCCAUAGGAAGCAGCAAUAUAAUUACAUAUAUUAAAAAGUUUAUGUAAAGUUUGGACACAUUGCUCCUUACUUCUACCCAACCCCCAUACAAACAGUGAGGGAAAAAUUGUGCAGGAAUU